This 162-nucleotide ribosomal RNA is filed under the name Catananche caerulea. RNAcentral describes it as "5.8S ribosomal RNA". It matches the Rfam family "5.8S ribosomal RNA". Rfam says of the family: 5.8S ribosomal RNA (5.8S rRNA) is a component of the large subunit of the eukaryotic ribosome. Lineage: Eukaryota; Viridiplantae; Streptophyta; Magnoliopsida; Asterales; Asteraceae. The record is from RNAcentral.
AAACGACUCUCGGCAACGGAUAUCUCGGCUCACGCAUCGAUGAAGAACGUAGCAAAAUGCGAUACUUGGUGUGAAUUGCAGAAUCCCGUGAACCAUCGAGUUUUUGAACGCAAGUUGCGCCCGACGCCAUUCGGCUGAGGGCACGCCUGCCUGGGCGUCACG